Molecule: ribosomal RNA, 225 nt
Filed under: uncultured bacterium
Lineage: Bacteria
Description: partial 16S ribosomal RNA
Rfam family: Bacterial small subunit ribosomal RNA
Source: RNAcentral
UACAGAGGUCCCGAGCGUUGUUCGGAUUCACUGGGCGUAAAGGGUGCGUAGGCGGUCGGGUAAGUCUGAUGUGAAAUCUCACAGCUUAACUGUGAAACUGCAUUGGAUACUAUUCGGCUUGAGAGUUGGAGGGGGGGACUGGAAUUCUUGGUGUAGCAGUGAAAAUGCGUAGAUAUCAGGAGGAACACCGGUGGCGAAGGCGGGGUCUCUGGGGCCCGAUACUGA